Molecule: ribosomal RNA, 735 nt
Filed under: uncultured Fusobacterium sp.
Lineage: Bacteria; Fusobacteriati; Fusobacteriota; Fusobacteriia; Fusobacteriales; Fusobacteriaceae
Description: bacterial SSU rRNA
Rfam family: Bacterial small subunit ribosomal RNA
Source: RNAcentral
GAUGAACGCUGACAGAAUGCUUAACACAUGCAAGUCAACUUGAAUUUGGGUUUUUAACUUAGGUUUGGGUGGCGGACGGGUGAGUAACGCGUAAAGAACUUGCCUCACAGCUAGGGACAACAUUUGGAAACGAAUGCUAAUACCUAAUAUUAUGAUAAUAGGGCAUCCUAUAAUUAUGGAAGCUAUAAGCGCUGUGAGAGAGCUUUGCGUCCCAUUAGCUAGUUGGAGAGGUAACGGCUCACCAAGGCGAUGAUGGGUAGCCGGCCUGAGAGGGUGAUCGGCUACAAGGGGACUGAGACACGGCCCUUACUCCUACGGGAGGCAGCAGUGGGGAAUAUUGGACAAUGGACCAAGAGUCUGAUCCAGCAAUUCUGUGUGCACGAUGAAGUUUUUCGGAAUGUAAAGUGCUUUCAGUUGGGAAGAAAAAAAUGACGGUACCAACAGAAGAAGUGACGGCUAAAUACGUGCCAGCAGCCGCGGUAAUACGUAUGUCACGAGCGUUAUCCGGAUUUAUUGGGCGUAAAGCGCGUCUAGGUGGUUAUGUAAGUCUGAUGUGAAAAUGCAGGGCUCAACUCUGUAUUGCGUUGGAAACUGUAUAACUAGAGUACUGGAGAGGUAAGCGGAACUACAAGUGUAGAGGUGAAAUUCGUAGAUAUUUGUAGGAAUGCCGAUGGGGAAGCCAGCUUACUGGACAGAUACUGACGCUGAAGCGCGAAAGCGUGGGUAGCAAACAGG